Molecule: ribosomal RNA, 375 nt
Filed under: uncultured eukaryote
Lineage: Eukaryota
Description: partial 18S ribosomal RNA
Rfam family: Eukaryotic small subunit ribosomal RNA
Source: RNAcentral
CAAUAGCGUAUAUUUAAGUUGUUGCAGUUAAAAAGCUCGUAGUUGGAUUUCGGUUAAGAGCGACCGGUCCGCCGUUUGGUGUGCACUGGUUGGUUUUAACUUCCUGUAGAGGACGUGCUCUGGGUUUAACGACCUGGACUCGGAGUCUACGUGGUUACUUUGAAAAAAUUAGAGUGUUCAAAGCGGGCUUACGCUUGAAUAUUUCAGCAUGGAAUAACACUAUAGGACUCCUGUCCUAUUUCGUUGGUCUCGGGACGGGAGUAAUGAUUAAGAGGAACAGUUGGGGGCAGUCGUAUUUCAUUGUCAGAGGUGAAAUUCUUGGAUUUAUGAAAGACGAACUUCUGCGAAAGCAUUUGCCAAGGAUGUUUNCAUUAA